GGGUGCGUAGCUCAGGGGUAGAGCAUCUGCCUUUUAAGCAGAGGGUCGGUGGUUCGAGCCCACCCGCACUCACGA
RNAcentral lists this transfer RNA (75 nucleotides) under Chlorobiota bacterium. RNAcentral's name for it is "Chlorobi bacterium tRNA-Lys". It matches the Rfam family "tRNA". From Rfam's summary of the family: Transfer RNA (tRNA) molecules are approximately 80 nucleotides in length. Their secondary structure includes four short double-helical elements and three loops (D, anti-codon, and T loops). Lineage: Bacteria; Pseudomonadati; Chlorobiota. The record is from RNAcentral.